Molecule: ribosomal RNA, 111 nt
Filed under: Legionella sp. PC997
Lineage: Bacteria; Pseudomonadati; Pseudomonadota; Gammaproteobacteria; Legionellales; Legionellaceae
Also listed under: 1 other name
Source: RNAcentral
UGGCGACCAUAGCGUCUUGGAACCACCUGAUCCCAUCUCGAACUCAGAAGUGAAACGAGACCGCGCCAAUGAUAGUGUGAGGUUUCCUCAUGUGAAAGUAGGUCAUCGCCA